UGUUAUCGCUUGUGCAGGACAUAUCUGAGAAACAACCAAGCCUCAUGAGAAAACCAUCACUGAAGGCAAUACAUAAUGAAAGAUGAUUGCAGUCCACAUCUAUCUAGAUUGUACAAAUGCAAAAGACAAUAGUUUCUAACUGAAAGAUGAGGGGUAUCUUGAAAUGCCACAAUAACACAAAUAUACAACUUUGACACAAAUUAAAAUAACCAGAUAAUUUCGUUAUUGGUCAGUAUUGCCCCAUUAGAAUCCGCACUCAUCAUAGGAUGCAGCAGUCCAUGGAGUUUCACUACCUUGAACAAUUUAAAAUAAAAACUGUAAUAUGUUUGAGCCACAUACACCUAGAAAUGCAAAAGAGGAGAA
RNAcentral lists this unclassified non-coding RNA (363 nucleotides) under Hevea brasiliensis (rubber tree). The record is from RNAcentral. Lineage: Eukaryota; Viridiplantae; Streptophyta; Magnoliopsida; Malpighiales; Euphorbiaceae.